GACGUAGGGGGCGAGCGUUGUCCGGAUUUAUUGGGCGUAAAGCGUGCGUAGGCGGCUGCGCAAGUCGGGUGUGAAACCCCGGGGCUCAACCCCGGAACUGCAUCCGAUACUGCGUGGCUAGAGGUAGGUAGGGGAGAUCGGAAUUCCUGGUGUAGCGGUGAAAUGACGCAGAUAUCAGGAGGAACACCGGUGGCGAAGGCGGAUCUCUGGGCCUUACCUGACGCUCAGGCACGAAAGCUAGGGGAGCGAACAGG
RNAcentral lists this ribosomal RNA (254 nucleotides) under uncultured bacterium. RNAcentral describes it as "partial 16S ribosomal RNA". It matches the Rfam family "Bacterial small subunit ribosomal RNA", at positions 524 to 776 of the family's 1533-position model. The record is from RNAcentral.